GAUGAAGAACGUAGCGAAAUGCGAUAAGUAAUGUGAAUUGCAGAAUUCAGUGAAUCAUCGAAUCUUUGAACGCACAUUGCGCCCCCUGGUAUUCCGGGGGGCAUGCCUGUUCGAGCGUCAUUUCACCACUCAAGCCUCGCUUGGUAUUGGGCAACGCGGUCCGCCGCGUGCCUCAAAUCGACCGGCUGGGUCUUCUGUCCCCUAAGCGUUGUGGAAACUUUCGCUAAAGGGUGUUCGGGAGGCUACGCUGUAAAACAACCCCAUUUCUAAGGUUGACCUCGGAUCAGGUAGGGAUACCCGCUGAACUUAAGCAUAUCAAUAAGCGGAGGA
This 330-nucleotide unclassified non-coding RNA is filed under the name soil metagenome. RNAcentral describes it as "partial contains 5.8S ribosomal RNA, internal transcribed spacer 2, and large subunit ribosomal RNA". The stretch from base 1 to 120 matches the Rfam family "5.8S ribosomal RNA", at positions 35 to 154 of the family's 154-position model. The record is from RNAcentral.